CUGGAGGAAAUGAGAGGUGAGUGUUUGCCUCAUACAAGGCUUCCAAGGGAGAUCAGAGCCUGGCUCACAAGGUUAUCUGUGAGCAGGGAUGUAGGCUGGAAAAAAGCCAUUAGCUCAAUUAGGUUUAAUAAAGGCAUAAUUGCCUUAAUUGUAGCCAGCCCCAUGCCUGCAGGGUCUGUGCAUGGGGCAGGUGGAGGAGCCGAGGGCUCGAGGGCUGCGCUCCUGGCUCCUGCCUGCCCUCAGGACCCUUUCCUGGGAGAAGCAGCACUAAAAGCUGGCCAGCAAAGUGCCCCUGUUCUGAGCUGGCUCCCCACAAGUGGAACAGGAGCCAUCUCCUUCCUGCUGUUUCCCCAAGGACACACCAGACUGCCUAAAUCCUACAUGUUCCUCCUCUAGCCUAGCUCCUGCGCCUGGCUCCCCUGCUGCUGUGGCACUACGGCCCCCCCAGGAGCUCACAGCACCCGUGGACCCAGGAAGGGCUCUGAAUCCUAAAUCGGCGAGCCAAGAGCAUCUCCAGUGGUGCAUGGAGAGCAGAAUUUAUUUGUGUUCUCAUUCCAGAAGCCUCUGCCUGCAGUAGCGGGAUCGAGUUUAUUUGAAGCUACAGCUUACGCAACGGAGCAAAAAUAGAAGAAAUUGCUGAUGCUAAAGCAGAGGCAGCGGUUCGGCAUGGAUUUGCGUUUCCCAUUGAUGGCUUCAGAAGAGGAGUGUCACUGGAGUUCAGCAGCUUCAUGGGGUCAUUAACUGCUCUGGAGCAAUAUGUUUAUUGCUGCUUCGAUUACGGCAGCUCUUAAGUGGUGCGGCUGAACCGCGGCUGCGUGCGGCUCAGCACAGCUUGUGCAGGCAGCAUAAGGAAGUUUUCAAUCUGAGGGGACGAGGAGAAGGAAAAAUGAUGAGCUCUGCUUGGGCACAGGGGGAAAAGAAACACCGAUAGGAAUUAACGAGUGGAUUUUUCCGCAGCACUCAGUGGUGUCUGGAAGGGGGCUCGCAUCUCGCACCUCCACGCAAGCAGUUCUGUCACAGCUGCCAGAUAGACACCAAACAGCUGAAUCAUUCAUGAGCCCAUCAGCAGAGCACGAGGCAUUAGGCAAAGGAAACAGCAGGUCAGCCUUGAAUUGAACGCUAUUAAAAACUUUCAUUAAAGUUCUGGAAGAGAGCGGUGGGAGAGGUGAGAGGGGGGAAAAGGAAAUAAAUUAUAAUAUUGAUCACGUUUGUGGAUCGGGACGGAGCAGGAGCGAUGGAAAACACAAGGAAGGACAAAACAGGAAUUAGCCUGGGAUAUCGCAGAAAGCUGGGCGUUUAAAUGGAACAAGAUUUAAUUUAGAUAAAUAUCAAAUAAUGCCUGUCAGUGCUCAGUAAGCGUGCCGCUAACAGAGGAGUGACGUGUGGGAGAAGGAAGAGCUGAGAGCAGAGGCUGCAGACGCUCGGGGUUUGCUCCAUGUGCCCUUGGAGCAACACCUCUGCGGGGCUGGGGAGCGCAGGGCCCCCUCUCCAGCCCUUCAGAUGUCACUUUGUCACCACGUCAGCUGCUAUUUCAGAGGGACAGAGCUGGCAACCUCCCAGAGCGCUGCCAGCCAUUGCAGUCCCCGUCACAAGAGCUUAGCCCGGUGGCCUCAUAUUUUGGGUCAUCAUUUCCUUAUGCAUGGAGUGCUGCGUCCCCGAACGGGCAGCAAGAAAUCAAAGUGUAUAAAGCGACGUGAGGGAAACAACCAGGCAAUAAAGGCUGCGCGGGAAGGUUACAGGAGGAUUAACCAGGCAGCUCUCUGAGGAGAGAGGAGGUUUUAUCGCAGCUGAGAUAUGUGCCGGGAGGACAGCAGGGGACAGCAGCAUGGAUGCAACCACCUCCUGUCAUCAGCGAGGUGCAAUUAGGCAGGGGCAAGCUAAUUUGUUUGCAGAGGAAGCAGCUGAACAGUCACGGGGCACCUCCAGGUUAACGAGGCUGCCUUGGUCCCGAGCUAAUCCCGGGCUGGGGAGCUCGCAAAGCCUCUGAGGGAGACGUGGAGGCACCAAGGGACGUCUCUCUGCUGGGAAGGGAGAGGGCCCUGGCUCUGGAAGGACCCAGCACGUUUGCACUGUGCUGGGCUCCUGGGCUCAUCCCUAAAGGUGCCACAGCAUUUCUGAGCCAAGAAAUAGAAACCUGUGUCCCUGUGAGUGGUGUGAGGAUGGGGGCACUCAGCCUGCAGCUGCCCAGGUGAAAAAGACAAGAAAAAAGCCUGGAAAUGCCUGAUGCUCAGCAGCUCCUUUCCUGCGGGGGGGAGCUGUAAGCCAGAGAGCUGCUGCUCCCCAUGGCCUCCGCGCAAGCAGCACCCUUUGGGUUGAGGCAGGCAGCCGGGAAAGCAAGCUGUCUGCAGCAAGGACUCCAAAUACCCAGCACACUUCCCGAGCUGCUGUGCCUGAGCGAUUCACUCAGCGGAUUUGUUGGGCACUGGUGUCCCUGUUGUCUGUGUGAUUACAGCUCAUAAGAGAGCAUCGCCCUCCCCGCGAGGAGUUUAACUUUUCCAGAGGCACCACAUAAAUCCCCUCCCUGUUUCUGCCUCCUCUCCAGCCUCUGCCCUGGCUUUUUCGGCACACCCAUGCCUCAGUUCAGCAUCACAUCGCUGGAGGCAUCUCUUGUCACUGCCAUGACAGCAGCAGAGCUCCCAGGGGUGCGGAGCAGCCGGCGUCUUCUCCCAGGGGUGCAGGCACCGCCACCACGGCAGCACAGAGCAGCCCCACGCGGGACGGGGGACGUGCUGCCAUGAUUUAAAAAUGGGAUGGGAGCUUACAGCCUCCUGCGGCCCCCAGGCAAAAGGGGGGCGUUGGGAGCGCUGGGUUUUGGGGAGCAGGUGCUGGGGGUCAGAGCUCAGCAGUGGGCUCACUCAGGGCUGCAAGGUCCUUC
Molecule: non-coding RNA, 2875 nt
Organism: Anas platyrhynchos (mallard)
Lineage: Eukaryota; Metazoa; Chordata; Aves; Anseriformes; Anatidae
Source: RefSeq, a predicted model, not a curated record